Molecule: ribosomal RNA, 465 nt
Filed under: uncultured bacterium
Lineage: Bacteria
Description: partial 16S ribosomal RNA
Rfam family: Bacterial small subunit ribosomal RNA
Source: RNAcentral
CUACGGGCCGCUGCAGUCGAGGAUCAUUCGCAAUGCGCGAAAGCGUGACGAUGCGACGCUGCGUGGAGGAUGACGGCCUUCGGGUUGUAAACUCCUGUCAUGAAGGAAAAGACGCUCUGUUCUUAAUACGAACGGAGCCCGAUGGUACUUCAAGAGGAAGCCACGGCUAACUCUGUGCCAGCAGCCGCGGUAAUACAGAGGUGGCGAGCGUUGUUCGGAUUUACUGGGCGUAAAGCGUACGUAGGCGGCUUGGUAUGUCGGAUGUGAAAGCCCGGGGCUCAACCCCGGAAGUGCAUCCGAAACUGCCGAGCUAGAGUACAGGAGGGGAGAGCGGAAUUCAUGGUGUAGCGGUGAAAUGCGUUGAUAUCAUGAAGAACACCGGUGGCGAAGGCGGCUCUCUGGAAUGUAACUGACGCUGAGGUACGAAAGCGUGGGUAGCAAACAGGAUUAGAUACCCGCGUAGUC